This 305-nucleotide ribosomal RNA is filed under the name uncultured bacterium. RNAcentral describes it as "bacterial SSU rRNA". It matches the Rfam family "Bacterial small subunit ribosomal RNA", at positions 333 to 653 of the family's 1533-position model. The record is from RNAcentral.
CUUGUCCUACGGGGGGCAGCAGUGGGGAAUAUUGCACAAUGGGGGGAACCCUGAUGCAGCGACGCCGCGUGGGCGAGGAAGUACUUCGGUAUGUAAAGCCCUAUCGGCAGGGAAGAAGAAAUGACGGUACCUGAAUAAGAAGCACCGGCUAAAUACGUGCCAGCAGCCGCGGUAAUACGUAUGGGGCAAGCGUUAUCCGGAUUUACUGGGCGUAAAGGGAGCGCAGGCGGCGCGCCAAGGCUGGUGUGAAACCCCGGGGCUCAACCCCGGGCACGCAUUGGAAACUGGCGGGCUGGAGUGCCGGG